RNAcentral lists this ribosomal RNA (374 nucleotides) under uncultured bacterium. Its description in RNAcentral is "bacterial SSU rRNA". It matches the Rfam family "Bacterial small subunit ribosomal RNA", at positions 29 to 381 of the family's 1533-position model. The record is from RNAcentral.
AACGAACGCUGGCGGCGUGGAUAAGACAUGCAAGUCGAACGCUGACCAAAAGGUAGCAAUAUCGUUUGGUCGGAGUGGCGCAAGGGUGCGUAACACGUGGGCAAUCUGCCGCGAAGACCGGAAUAACCUGCUGAAAGGCGGGCUAAUACCGGAUGUGGUUGUCUAGAGGAUUCUUUGGACAAGCAAAGUCGGGGACCGCAAGGCCUGACACUUCGCGAUGAGCCCGCGGCCUAUCAGCUAGUUGGCGGGGUAAUGGCCCACCAAGGCUAAGACGGGUAGCUGGUCUGAGAGGACGACCAGCCACACUGGAACUGAGACACGGUCCAGACACCUACGGGUGGCAGCAGUCGAGAAUUUUUCACAAUGGGCGAAAG